RNAcentral lists this ribosomal RNA (245 nucleotides) under uncultured bacterium. RNAcentral's name for it is "partial 16S ribosomal RNA". It matches the Rfam family "Bacterial small subunit ribosomal RNA", at positions 524 to 760 of the family's 1533-position model. The record is from RNAcentral.
UACGAAGGGUGCAAGCGUUAAUCGGAAUUACUGGGCGUAAAGCGCGCGUAGGUGGUUCAGCAAGUUGGAUGUGAAAGCCCUGGGCGUCAACCUACGGGAACGUGCAUCCAAAAACUACUGAGCUAGAGUACGGUAGAGGGUAGUGGAAUUUCCUGUGUAGCGGUGAAAAUGCGUAGAUAUAGGAAGGAAACACCAGUGGCGAAAGGCGACUACCUGGACUGAUACUGACACUGAGGUGCGAAAAG